UACACAUGCAGUCGAGCGGCAGCGGGAAAGUAGCUUGCUACUUUUGCCGGCGAGCGGCGGACGGGUGAGUAAUGCCUGGGAAAUUGCCCAGUCGAGGGGGAUAACAGUUGGAAACGACUGCUAAUACCGCAUACGCCCUACGGGGGAAAGCAGGGGACCUUCGGGCCUUGCGCGAUUGGAUAUGCCCAGGUGGGAUUAGCUAGUUGGUGAGGUAAUGGCUCACCAAGGCGACGAUCCCUAGCUGGUCUGAGAGGAUGAUCAGCCACACUGGAACUGAGACACGGUCCAGACUCCUACGGGAGGCAGCAGUGGGGAAUAUUGCACAAUGGGGGAAACCCUGAUGCAGCCAUGCCGCGUGUGUGAAGAAGGCCUUCGGGUUGUAAAGCACUUUCAGCGAGGAGGAAAGG
This 407-nucleotide ribosomal RNA is filed under the name bacterium 47_oclvp120. RNAcentral describes it as "bacterial SSU rRNA". It matches the Rfam family "Bacterial small subunit ribosomal RNA", at positions 50 to 452 of the family's 1533-position model. RNAcentral also lists the same sequence under 1 other name. The record is from RNAcentral.